Molecule: ribosomal RNA, 275 nt
Filed under: uncultured prokaryote
Description: partial 16S ribosomal RNA
Rfam family: Bacterial small subunit ribosomal RNA
Source: RNAcentral
UACGGAGGAUCCGAGCGUUAUCCGGAUUUAUUGGGUUUAAAGGGUGCGCAGGCGGAAGAUUAAGUCGGUGGUGAAAUUUUGCAGCUCAACUGUAAAAGUGCCUUCGAAACUGGUUUCCUUGAGUGUAGAUGAAGUAGGCGGAAUUUGUGGUGUAGCGGUGAAAUGCAUAGAUAUCACGAGGAACUCCGAUUGCGAAGGCAGCUUACUAAGCCAUAACUGACGCUCAAGCACGAAGGCGUGGGGAUCAAACAGGAUUAGAUACCCGGGUAGUCCCU